ACAUCAUCCACCCUAGUGGUCUUCAAAUUACUCACAUGAUCCCACUUUCUUAUCAACAGAACUCGGAGCCUGUUGGGGGCGGGGUGCAUCCAGAUUGAGAACAGCAGCAGCUAGAACAGUUUCAUUGCCCAGCCCCGCCGGACUCAAGUUUUCUCCAGUGGGAUGUUCCCAGAAGUUGCUGGCUGGGGCUUUCAGGAAGACGUUUCAGAUGGCAGACAGGCUCAGCUAGAAGAUCCCACAUUCAGCCUGAUAAUGCAGACUCUUUCAAGGCCCUGCAGAGAAGCUCCUUUCCUCGUCAGCACCAAUUCUAAAAUAAAUCGGAGUCACUUAGAAGCCAAGCUGGAAGCACAUUCAACCUGCUGGGACCCACCACCCAGGAGUGAGGCUCUUAAAUCAAUUUGGAAAUCGUUUCCAUGUAUUAUGAAUGGACUUGGUAAGGGAAUAGAAAUCCCUGCCAAAUCCCUACCUUGAAUAGGAUGAAAAAUUAGAUUAAUCUGAAAAAAGCAGUCAGCAGGCAGUUACUUACCCUGUUUUAGAUAUCUGGGAGGACUGGGAAAAUUGCAGCACGGUGUAGCAGAAAGAGCAGGUCUUUAGAGUUAAACAGACUGCACUUUGCGUCCUGGGUCUGCCACUUAACAGUUGUGAACUUUGGCCACGUGCCUCAUCCUGCCUGAACCUCUGUUUCCUUAAUUCCGGGGUAGGGAUGACAACGCCUGCCUUGCUGGACUGCUGGGAGCAUUAGUGACAGCAGAUGUGAAGCAUCUCACACCGAGUGGGGAUGGAUAAACAGCGGCUACAGGCACCUACCUCCUGGAAAAGGGCUGCUGUCAUAUUUGAGGCACUCUCAGGGCCCCUGGGCCAGCUUUUCCAGGGACAAGGGGCAUAUUCCCAUGGGUGUUGCAUAUCGACCUUUGGUCUCAUGUAAAACUCAUCUUAUUCAUAG
Molecule: long non-coding RNA, 943 nt
Filed under: Pan troglodytes (chimpanzee)
Lineage: Eukaryota; Metazoa; Chordata; Mammalia; Primates; Hominidae
Description: lncRNA (ENSPTRG00000054574.1)
Source: RNAcentral